AAAAAGGGCNAACNCGCGGGUUUGCGUGCCUACGUNUUGACUGUCCGUCUUAUAUGAAUUUUUUUAUAAUUAGUAUUUUUAUUAUUGUUAGAUGAUAAAACAUGAUGAAUACUUUAUGCGUGACUUAUCUUUUUAAUUUUUUUCAUAUUUUUUUUAAAUAAGACGGACGGUCAAACAUGGACCACGGAAACCAUAGUUUGUCUUUUU
This is a microRNA precursor of Oryza sativa Indica Group (long-grained rice), 207 nucleotides long. It matches the Rfam family "MIR812 microRNA precursor family". The record is from Rfam. NCBI's taxonomy places the organism in Eukaryota, Viridiplantae, Streptophyta, Magnoliopsida, Poales, Poaceae.